Molecule: long non-coding RNA, 1750 nt
Organism: Oncorhynchus tshawytscha (Chinook salmon)
Lineage: Eukaryota; Metazoa; Chordata; Actinopteri; Salmoniformes; Salmonidae
Source: Ensembl
GUCCCCUAUCUACAUACAUACUGUAUCACUGUCCCCUAUCUACAUACAUACUGUAUCACUGUCCCCUAUCUACAUACAUACUGUGUCACUGUAUCACUGUCCCAGAUCUACAUACAUACUGUAUCACUGUCCCCUAUCUACAUACAUACUGUAUAGCUGUCCCCUAUCUACAUACAUACUGUAUCACUGUCCCCUAUCUACAUACAUACUGUAUCACUGUCCCCUAUCUACAUACAUACAUACUGUAUCACUGUCCCCUAUCUACAUAAUACUGUAUCACUGUCCCCUAUCUACAUACAUACUGUGUCACUGUAUCACUGUCCCAGAUCUACAUACAUACUGUAUCACUGUCCCCUAUCUACAUAAUACUGUAUCACUGUCCCCUAUCUACAUACAUACUGUAUCACUGUCCCCUAUCUACAUACAUACUGUAUCACUGUCCCCUAUCUACAUACAUACUGUAUCACUGUCCCCUAUCUACAUACAUACUGUAUCACUGUAUCACUGUCCCCUAUCUACAUACUGUAUCACUGCCCCCUAUCUACAUACAUACUGUAUCACUGUCCCCUAUCUACAUACAUACUGUAUCACUGACCCCUAUCUACAUACACACUGUAUCACUGUCCCCUAUCUACAUACAUACUGUAUCACUGUCCCCUAUCUACAUACAUACUGUAUCACUGUAUCACUGUCCCCUAUCUACAUACAUACUGUAUCACUGUCCCCUAUCUACAUACAUACUGUAUCACUGUAUCACUGUCCCCUAUCUACAUACAUACUGGAUCACUGACCCCCAUCUACAUACAUACUGUAUCACUGUCCCCUAUCUACAUACAUACUGUAUCACUGUCCCCUAUCUACAUACAUACUGUAUCACUGUCCCCUAUCUACAUACAUACUGUAUCACUGUCCCCUAUCUACAUACAUACUGUAUCACUGUAUCACUGUCCCCUAUCUACACACAUACUGUAUCACUGUCCCCUAUCUACAUACAUACAUACUGUAUCACUGUCCCCUAUCUACAUACAUACUGUAUCUCUGUCCCCUAUCUACAUACAUACUGUAUCACUGUAUCACUGUCCCCUAUCUACAUACAUACUGUAUCACUGUCCCCUAUCUACAUACAUACAUACUGUAUCACUGUCCCCUAUCUACAUACAUACUGUAUCUCUGUCCCCUAUCUACAUACAUACUGUAUCACUGUAUCACUGUCCCCUAUCUACAUACAUACUGUAUCACUGUCCCCUAUCUACAUACAUACUGUAUCACUGUCCCCUAUCUACAUACAUACUGUAUCACUGUCCCCUAUCUACAUACUUACUGUAUCACUGUCCCCUAUCUACAUACUUACUGUAUCACUGUAUCACUGUCCCCUAUCUACAUACAUACUGUAUCACUGUCCCCUAUCUACAUACAUACUGUAUCACUGUCCCCUAUCUACAUACACACUGUAUCAUUGUCCCCUAUCUACAUACACACUGUAUCACUGUCCCCUAUCUACAUACACACUGUAUCAUUGUCCCCUAUCUACAUACAUACUGUAUCACUGUCCCCUAUCUACAUACAUACUGUAUCACUGUAUCACUGUCCAAUAUCUACAUAUAUACUGUAUCACUGUAUCACUGUCCCCUAUCUACAUACAUACUGUAUCACUGUCCCCUAUCUACACACAUACUGUAUCACUGUCCCCUAUCUACAUACAUACUGUAUCACUGUAUCACUGUCCCCUAUCUACAUACAUACUGUAUCA